AAAACAGGAGGUUUUCCCCAUGGACCGACCCAUGACGAGAUCCUAUUCUCGGGCCCUCAACAGAGAGGCUCCUUUGAAUGACCUCUUUAUGUUCUUAUUCAUUGUCUCUUGAUAUAAAAAAGAGCCUGUGUCAAAAUUCUUAACCCUCUAGCAUCUCCUUUGUUAUCAAUUUGGGACUUUGGGUUCUAUAGAGGCUUUAGGGAUGGGGAGAUUGAGAGUCUAACCAACCUUCUAAGUCUUCUUGAAAAACGUCUAUUUGGACCCCUUUGAGCUAGACAAAAGGAUUUGGACACCUCUACCCUUUGGUCAUUUCUCUUGUGCUUCCUUCUUUAAGGCCCUUUGUCGUUCUUCAUUCCAAUAAGUUUUCCCCUUUAAGGAAGUUUGGUGUAGGCCUGUUCCCCCUAUGGUGUUGGCAUUCUGUUAGUAAGUGUUCUAUGGGAAAGUUAACACCUUGGAUAAUCUACAAAAGAGAAGAUCUAUACUUUGCAUCUCACCUAAUUGGUGUACUCUUUGCAGGUCUCAUGGUGAGGAUUGUUACCAUUUACUAAUCUCCUGUUCUGUGACAGUAGAGUUGUGAUAUUGGCUCUUCUUGAUCUUUGGGUGUAGGUGGAAUAGGCCAGCAGAGGUAAGCAUUUUCUUUGAUCCUUUUUUCUUUACUUGGCGCCAUCGAAGAGGAAGUAUUAUGUAGAGGUGUGCAAGGGCAUCUUUGUUAUGGAAAGUGUGGGAAGAAAGGAAUGCCAGGAUUUUCCAAGAUAGCAAGAGAUGGAGUGUAUUUUGUAUAGGGCUAUCUUGUGGCUGAAAGUCCUGGACUUAUUUCUUUAAUUUUCAUUUAAUGAUCUCUAGAGGAAUUGGGCAGUAGUGACAAGCUGCUCCCCUGUGAAGGUGCGUUUGAGUUGGGCACCACCUCCUGAAGGUUUCUUGAAACUGAAUUUUGAUGGCAGCAGUCAAGGUAAUCCAGGUCCAUCUAGGAUGGGAGAGGUUCUAAGCAAUGAAAGUGGAAAUGUGACUCUCUUAUAUCAGGCCCAUUAGGCGCCGGGGACUCCACUAGGGUGGAACUACUAGCUGCCCUUCAAGGGGUGCAGUUUGCAGCACAGAUAGGAGUGGAAAAGCUAAUAAUAGAAGGUGACUCCAAGGUGGUUGUGGGGUGGCUUAGAACCCAGAAACUGUGAUAUGGUAUUUUAAUAAUGAACUUAAGAAAUGCAAGUGGCUGACAAGAAAUCCGUGUCAGAAUACAAUUGGUGGGGAGUCAGCUAUUGGGGUCUGUUUUGUAACUAUUGGGGUCUGUUUUGUAACAAUAGUAUGUGCCCUAUUGGGGUCUGUUUUGUAACUUGGGCAUUUCUAGUUUUAAUAUAAAACAACUUUCUCAUUUGAGAGAGACAUGUAGGAGUAACUUUGCCCUAACUCUCUCUCUUAUAACUCUUCCAUCUUUCUCUUUUUCUAACCUUAUUUCAAUGAAAAAAGAAUAUUCUUGACCUUAAUGACUUGCUGUUACCGAUUCUCCCAGAAUUUGAAUACAUUUUUAAGUCCCUGAAAGACUUAAGGCUACUUGCCUUAUUUCUUACAUUGAAAUGAUCUUAAUAGAGCAUUGUAUUGAACCUUUCAAGUUAUACAACUUCCUUGUAAAUUAAGCUUUUGACUCCUUAAUCCUUCAAUCCCACAGAUUUCCAUUUUUUACUAGACCUUUUCUUGGGUAUUGUUUCCUGAUUUUUUUCCCAUUGACUGAGGUUGCAGAAUAAGACACCCUCUUUUUUGUUUUCUUUUCAGACCAUUGGCUACAUGGCUCCAUUAGUGCCCUCAGGUUGGAGAAAAGCUCAAACUUGAGUUUUAGUACUGUUAUGUAUCAUAGCAUGAUUUUGUGCCCUUUGGUACUGAGGAUUUCUUGAUUUGUUGCUUCUUAUGUUUAUUCUCAUGUUUAAGUGAAGGCUGCUAUUCUAUCUCAUACAAAACAUCUGUGGUUACUUAAGCAUCAUAUCCUUGUCCUUACCCUUAGUUGGAACUUGGAACCAAAUUGAUCUUUCUUUCAUGUUUGUUUAUUUUAUAGGUAUUUUUCCUACAUGUUCGAGAAAUAGCUCUAUCAAAUUUCCAUGGGUGCCCUGACAAAAUAUCACAUACUUCUAAUAGAAGAACAUCAGACCAAAUUUUGUCAUUUCAUCUAAUUAAAAAUUAAAUUAAACAUUUAUAAUUGAACUUUUAGUGCAUUUCCCUCCUAACCAUCCCACUAGAUAAGGUUUAGGAACAAGCUAGGCCUUCAGCCACAACAUAGUGGUAAACUAUUUGGAGAUAAAAUUACUUCCAUAUCUGGUAUCAAUGACAAUGCCAUAGCUUUUGCACUUUACCUUCCCCCAAGUUCUGUAGAUUAUGUUAUGUCAUGCAGAAAGAGUUUCUUUUUUUAUUUUUUGAUGAAUUCAUUCAGGAAGAGAUUCAUGAAUUCAUUCUUUCUUUGAUCCUUGGGCCUCAGCAACCAUUAAAACCUAUAUGCUAUUACCAUGUGUAACCUUAUUAGUUUUGUAAUAACUUUGCCUUCACUACUGUGCUUUUCUUUCUCUUCAUCUUUGUUUGUUGUUAAUUUUCUUUGAUUAGAUAUAUGCCAUGGUUGUGGAUACUGAAAACACAUUCUUUUAGUCUUCUUGCACUAAAAGACUACUCUUAUUCUUUUCCAUAUUGCUCUUUGGUGGUUCUUCUUGGAGGCCACCUCCAUUCUUUUCCAUAUUGCAUUUUGGUGGUUCCAACUAAAGAAUCAAACUUAUCAUACUUUUUUAUUGGGUCCAUGAUCAUAGUUUAGCUUACAAAAUCAUACCUAUGAAUUCAGUUUCCUUCUUCAGUUGAUGGAGCUGUGAAGAAAAUGCAGAUGGAGGUUGAUCUGUAAUAUACAAAUUUGUUUUUUAUUUAGUGUUUGGUCAUUUCAAGGCUAUCCAUUGUAUAGUUCCUGCUAUCUAGCCUGGACUGGUUAGAGUCACUGGUUUUAUGGCAAUUAAUGCACAUGUCUUUGUUAAUUAUCAAAAAAGAAAAAUAGUCAAAAAUAUGCUUCUGUUAUGAUUAUUCCAUUCAUAUAUUCUCACCACAUAAUAUGUAGUCAUUUCUUAUGCAUAUUCCUGUACUUCAUCACAUUUUGUUUUGUUUUUCUUGGAAGAAAAGAAGUCUCAUGAGGCUGGAAACCUCACUCAUCUUUAGGCCCUAGUGCCUCACCUCGCACUUUUCAGUUACCCCUUUUAGUUCUUUGAGAAGUGGGCAGCACCAAUAAUUUCUUGACAAGACCCACUACAGAUGGACAUUUGGGUUAUGACAAGGAAGUACUAAAGCUGACAAUGCUUAUGCAUGAACCUAUAUUCAGAAAGCAGUGGUGUCCACCACUUUUGGGGGGUUUCCGGGCAUUGAAGAGGCUUGUAAAGCUUCAGGCGCCAGUAAGGGGCCACAAUGUUAGAAAGGGGAUGACAUAGCAGUUAAGGUGUUUGCAGGCAUUAGUAAAAGCCCAGGCAUGAUCUCGAGCAGGUUGCCUCCUUGGUUCUGAUACAUGGCAUACUUACAACAAGUGCUCACUGCAUGUUUCACCACCUUGGAGGGCUGAUGCAAACUCAUGAUGAGGAAACCUACAAUUUUCUCAAGUACUCUUCAGUCAAAGUUUUAUUUUGUCUCCGAUCUGCUGGGAAAAAACAUAGCUAGGCCAAACAGCAGGAAGGACGACAAUGUUGAGAUUAAUAGGGAGAUGAAGUGCGUUUGACAAGAACCAAUAUGACAAACUAGGACAGAGGAUCCUCUUUUCAUUGAAUAUAGCAGCUCCAACUGACAUUGAAGAUCGGAAUUUUCAUGACCAUUGAUGAUUUCACUUCACCUGAGAAUAUGAGAAAACACACCAGGGAAAAAAUAGCAGCAGCCGGUAAUGUUAUGUGCAGUGACAACCCCUCCCCUCCAUCCCAAAUAUAGAAGGGUAGGUAUUCAAAGUGUACAGACCUAAAAGAAGAAACGGGGAGGGAUCAUUGACAGAGGGAAAAUGGAGUGAGUAUUGAGAGAAAUCCCUCUCUUCUCCAAAAAGCUAAAGGCUGAUAGUUGACAAUUUUUUCUUGAUAUCACAUAUAUUAUAUAUAAUUUAUAUUUAAACUGCAUUUAUAAUUGGUUGAUUGAAUAUUUAACGAAUUGAAUCUACUUUAUUUGAUUUGAUUUAAUUAUGUUUAAUUCGAAUUCGGAUUUUUGAAUACUGUUUACACCCCUAACUAUAAUAAGGUUUGGAUUUGAUGCAAAUCCAAUCCAAGUAUUGAAAACCUUGAAUCCAAUUCGAUUGAAUACAUGUGUCUUAGCUCUGAUUUGGAUCCCAUUGGACUGGGAUCGGAUUUGGGUUAAUCCGAGUCUGUUUUCAUCUUUAAAAUAAAUCAAAUGGUCAUUUGCUAAGACACACCUUAUAGUUUCACCUGUUUACUUAAAUCACCUUCUGUCAAUGACCGCUUAAAUUUUCGUUUAACAAUUGUCAUGUGACCUCUUAAAAUACAUUUUAAUUCCAAAAAUGCCCCUAACAAGUCUUAAGUCGCCACAUUUUUUCACAGCUCAUAUCAAUUGGUUUCCAUAUCUACCCAAAACCAAAAUGGAGAAUACAAAGAAACAAAUAAAAUUUCCAAUAGAACACUUGAACUCGUGAACGAAACAAACUCAAGAACAAAAACUAGAAGAUUAUAAUACUUGCAUGGUAAAAAAAAGAACCAUAUUCAUUAGAACAGGAACAAGGCUAUCUUACACAAAGCAAUUAUAAAAAUGCGAUCUGCAUGUAAUGAGAGAUAGAAAGAAGAGAAGCUUUGGAAGAGAUAUUUAAAACACCAACAUUUUCUCUAAUCGAAAUGAUAAACCCAAGUCCUAUUCAGCGUUAUGAUGAGUUUGGCCAUCUCUAACUUCAUUUAUUGAUUAAAUUUGGAUUGGGCUUCCUCAUCUUAUCUUUUGCCAUCACUGUAGUAUUUUCAUUUCUUGAGGUUUGGCUGGAAAAGGGUUGAAGUUAUCAUUCAAUAUUGAGCUCUUUUCAUUUCUUGUUGCAAGGGACGGAUCUCUUGGUCCCUUUUGAGAUUUUCAACAUUCACACCACACCUGAAAAUUUGUCAAUCUUGAACGUAUUUCUUGUUCUCUUUGAAUUCAUUUUGAGUUUUUUCUCAAGGUCACGUUUGUUUGAGGUGGAAAAUCGAACCGGGGUAAACUUUAUACCCAGUUCGAUUUUAUUACAGGUGUUUGGUAAUAUUGCCUCAUGAAUCGAUGUAAAAGUCCAUUCUCGCCRAUAUUUACAUUGAAAAUCAAUGAAAAGUUUACAUUGAUUCUCUCCAUCCAUUGAUCUUUAUACAAAGAGUCGAAGAGAGGGUGAGAAGACCUCAUCUCCUCUGAUCGUGAAGACCUCCUCCAUCCAAUGGUUUCCGUCCAAAGAAGAGCCCGUCGUCCGUUAACAUCCGAUCACCAAUGGAGUUAGCAGAGAGAAACUCAAAAUCUACAUUGCUUACCGACAUCUUUUCCCGUUCUAUGUCAAGCUUCUUUGGCGACUCAGAGCACGAGCUUAUGGAGAUGAAAUCAUUGUCGUCGAUGAAGUCAAUGGAGAAAGAGGUCCGCGGGCUUGAUGUUGGCUCCAUAGAGUUUUAGAGUAGAUCUCCUUCCAAAUCGAGCCUAAGGCAAAGGGUUUGGGUUUCCUACACUAAGGUCGGCUCUAGUCUUUGGGUUUAUUUAUUUAACAGACCGAACUGCCUCACCUGCAAACCUUCAUCUCUAAUCGUUGGAAAAUAUUUUUCGACUCUGCCAGCUCCUCCUCAAUUCGUCUCUGGUGCUCAUUGCAUUCUGCGACUCGCUGUCGGAAAUACCGAAUCCUCUUGAGGCUGGCCGAAACUGCCAGCCCCAUCUCUGCCAUCCUUCCUUACAUAUUUGUAUUCUCAUCCUGUGAUUCUUUCAGCUUCUUCGUCAAGAAUCAAUACCCAUCUAAGGAUUUAAGGAGAUUCUCUAAGAGAAGCUUGUUAUGCUCUUGCAGCGCAGCAACAUUCCCUUCACCAUCUCCUCUUCUACAGUUGUAGGGUUCCAAGAGCAACCACUUACCCUACUAUUAUCUCCUUCCCCAAGCUUGAGAACAUCCAUUCCAAGCUUGUCUGUGCUACUAUGCUCGCACUGAGUUUUAGAGUAGAGCAGGGUUUCAGAGUUUCAGAACGUAGUUUCACUUUUACAUCGAAACAACCAAACAACAUGAGACAAAAUUUCCAAAACACCCUGAUUCAAUUUUCCAUCGACUACUAAAUUAGGAUCAAAAUUUCCAUCGAUGUAAAUUUGAAUUUACACUUGAAACAAAUGCAUCGCAAAGACAAAUAUUAAUUUUUCCUUUUGAGGGUGUUUGUUUAUUGUUUUACAAAUCUUACUAUUUACAAGCGUUGGGUUAAUUCCUAGGGAAUACUUCUUGGGAAGAAUGAUCAUUCAGACCAGGGUCAGAUUUCACAGGCCCAAAGUACAGUUCGGUAGGUGUCAACUCAAAAUUGAUGCCAAAUCACGAACAGGUGUAAGUGCAUAAUGUGUAGGUUUUUGAAAUAUAAGUGCAUAAUGUGUGGGUUUUUGAAAAUUUGAAUGUUUAUAGAACUGUGUAAAAUUCUGCUGUCCGUACUUCUCCGACUCCGUUUUCAUCAUGUUCUAUUAAUUUGACUUCAUGGAUAUUACCUCUCCGCACAUCCUUGAAUCCCGAUAUCGUCGCAAGUCUCUUUUGAGGAAAAAUGUAUCAAAUUCUAGGUUUUCUUCGUUUCUUUCUUUUCGAUCUUUUGAGUCCCGCUUGAUGGAGGGAUAGAUCAUGUCGAUUUGUUGUUAAUGCGAGUAAUGUGUUCUGUCAUGCUAGUUAGACAGCGCUUACUUGAGAAAAAUUCAUCCAUCACCUACAGUUCUCAUACCUGCUCUUCGAACAGUUGGAAACAUUGUCACAGGAGAUGAUGCUCAGACUCAGUUCUACAGACUGCCUGAAACAACAUUUUCUCUCCAAUCUGAUGUUGACUGGACAACAGUUUUGUGAAGAAGACUGGUCAGCACUCAAAAAGAAAUACAGUAGCCUUUCUGAGGAUUAUUUGCUGCGGUAUUGCUUCUCUUCAUCUUAUAUUGUGGCUCUACUGCAUGAUACUCUUGGAAUUUCAUUGGAUGAUCAAAGGCUGAUGUGGAUGGAAAUGGAACAAUCAGUUAUGUUGAAGUUAUUACUGCAACCAUGCAUAGGCACAAGCUAGAAAGAGACGAACAUCUAUAUAAAGCCUUCCAGCAUUUUGAUAAAGAUCAGAGCGGAUACAUUUGUGAUAGGAUGAUUGGGCUGCUAAUUCUAUGCCGUUUGGAAGCUCCAUAGUUCCUAUUCAAAAAGAAUAGUUGUCGUUGGCGUGAAGAGGAGAGAGAAACUGGCUUACUUGGUAGAAGAGACCGUUGUAUUUGCAUUGAUGGUGGGAGUAGCUGGUUGUUUUUAUGUUGUUAUUUUUUGCCAAGAUGCCCAUUGUAUGCCCGGGCAGCUUGUUAAUUUUUAUAUUUGUUUAAUGGUGGGAGUAGCUGGAACAACAUUUGGUAGCGAGAAACAAUUGUAUUUGCAUUGAUGGAAAUGCCAAACAUCCACAAAAAUUGUAUUCUUA
This is a non-coding RNA of Nelumbo nucifera (sacred lotus), 7586 nucleotides long. The record is from RefSeq and is a predicted model, not a curated record. NCBI's taxonomy places the organism in Eukaryota, Viridiplantae, Streptophyta, Magnoliopsida, Proteales, Nelumbonaceae.